GUUGGCUGAUGAGUCCUAAAUAGGACGAAAUGCACAUCCUGGAC
RNAcentral lists this non-coding RNA (44 nucleotides) under Trichobilharzia regenti. The record is from RNAcentral. Lineage: Eukaryota; Metazoa; Platyhelminthes; Trematoda; Strigeidida; Schistosomatidae.